Phalacrocorax carbo (great cormorant) is the source of this 2907-nucleotide non-coding RNA. Lineage: Eukaryota; Metazoa; Chordata; Aves; Suliformes; Phalacrocoracidae. The record is from RefSeq and is a predicted model, not a curated record.
GGGGGAAGGAGGCAGCAAUCACAGCUUGGGGUCCGCCAGCGUCGGUCACCAGAUGAGUACGUGCGCACCCUUUGAAGGAAUGCCCAGUUUUGGAGAUGUGAUGCCAUCAAAUUUUCUGCAGUGUCAGAGCUUACUACUGAGUGGGCUGAGCAAGAAUAACUCCAAAUUAAAAUGUGGACAUUGAAAAUGCAUGCUCUCAAGACAUGUACAAAAUCUAACAGUUGUAACCAGAAAACUUUCUACAAAAGAUUCCGUUUCUGAUUGUUAGAGGUUGAUAACAUUUCUUUGUGUUAUGUAGACAUACAUAUAUCUACCAACACUUUCCCACCUCAAAAAGUCUUCACCACUACUGUAAGCGAUUGACCAAUCUGCAAAGGGUGCUCAAUGGCAAAGCAACCACAGCAAUGGCAACCAGAAAGAGAGGAUAAAGGUUUGGUAAAAGGUGGUUUGAAUGGCAGAACCUGAAGUGAAGGAUCCAGAAGGCUAAAGACAUCACUUUCACUUUAUUUUUGCAUAUUUGUUAUCCUCACUUGCUGGUAUAGAUCUUGCCACUUUUAAAUGGAACUGUAGAGUUUCAUGGAUUGCCAAGAAUGGCCAAUACAGUAAAAAUGGAAAAAAGUCUUCAGAUAAAGUGACAACAGUUAGUACAGGACAACAUCAAUUUGCAGAGAGUAAAAAUUCAUGGACAAGAACAAGCAGUAGGAAACAGCCAGGCUUGACAAAACAAAAACAAUUAGAGAAAAAGCAGAAGAGCCUCAACUCCCCCGUGAUGUGAUUACCCUAAUUACAGAAUGAGAUUAAUAUAAACAAUAAAGUUAAUUAGGGCAUAAAAGGAUCUUGAGGGCGGAAAGCUCUAGAAAGAAAAAUUGAAAAAAAAAUCAUGAAAAAAUAGCAUGCAUUAUAAAAAUGGAAGUCAUCCCUGAAUGGAGAGCCCUUCUAUGCCUCUCAUACUUCUGCGCCUCUCAUACUUCUGCAGAGACACUAUUGGUGCAAUUUGGUCAUCCACUUCAUCAAAAGAUAACAGACAUUGUCUGCAAGCAAGACCUAGGAAGGCCCAAAGACCCCCUGUUAUUAGAGGAGCAAGUCUGCAGUGUGCAGAAACCUUCUCAGCAUCAUUCCUGGUGCUCCUCAGCCCUGCAAGUGGCUGGCAGUUAUGACACCAUGUAAAUGUAAAGAUAUCAUGUGACACAUUUCAAAACCUAGGAUCAGUUUAGACUUUAAAUGUUUCUUCACAAUCAAAAGAGCUAGAAACUUUGAUUAUACCUACGUGCUAGAAUGGAGUGCAAUCUAUCUCUGCUGAGCAAUUCAGCAACAUUACCAAGGAGCUAAUCACCAGGUCAGCUCAUUAGACUAUUGUGGAUAGACCUGUUCAUAGGAUCAGAAAAAUUGGUCUGAAUUUAUACUAUGUGUGGAGCUGGUAAGCCAGGCACCAGUUGUGUCCAGUGUUCUUCUCUCAUGAUUCAGACUCAAGAAUCAUUAGGAUUUUAUACCUGAAAUAUGAGAAGAGACGUGAAAUAAUAGCCUUUACACACGUGUACAUUUAUAUGUAGAUAUGCACACAGAUCUUCACACAACAAAUCAACUUUCUCAUUUCCUUUUCAUUUAAAAGUGAUGGGAGAAAAUUAAAACCAAAAGCUAUGGAAAGAAGUAUUUGAGAAAGAGUUACAUGAAACCACUCAUAUGGAAAAAUCCAUGUAGAACUGACAUCAGAAAAGAAUUGCAUGUCCUCUCUCCUGUACAACCACAGCUGUGGCCACAUUCAUUCUCACAUUUGCUGCAGCUGAGCAUGCUCUUUUUUUAAUUAAAAGAAAUCUUUCAAACAGAAGAUAGUGUUCUUAACCACUUGGCUACUACUGUGACAGUCAUAUAUAUAAAUUUUGGCUUUCUCUGCAGAAGUAUAGGUUUGUUCUGAGCAAGGGUGUGUUUUCUGAGCUGGUUACUUGCAGUCAAACUCAUACUUUCCCACCACUAAUCUUUCAAGCAAUUACAAUUUCUGACUGUCUCCAUAGUAACCCAGAAGAGGAAUCAGCAUUGUAGGAGGGCCUGUCCACACACCCCAGAUGAUAUAGCAGGUUCUGCCAAGUCAUGGAGGUGUCCACAGACAAAGCUCCAGCUGCCUGACAGCAGCUGGAGAAGGAUCUUACCCACAGCAUUAAAAAAUACAAGGGUCCAAAUGCAAGCCCUAGGCAUGUAUUGCAGAAGUCCCCAUAAUCUGUGGCUGUGCCACUGCUUGCACAUGUGAGCAAUGUUCACACUCUUCUGGUGGUAAUUUGUACUUCUCUACAGCUGUACAGCAGAGAUGUGACCUUCAAUCUCCUGCAUUCAUUUGGGCAGUUUAAGGAGAAGCAGGCUUCUCUGCCCUCCUGGCCAUGUGGAGAGCUACAGGGGGAGCAGGAGAGGAAUGGAAGAGAUGUGGGAGACUCCAAUUGCUCCCACUGAUGGGCUGAUGACUCAUCAGACAUCAUUCAGAGUUGAUGGCUGAAGACUGCUCCAGGUUCCACCUACAACAUGCCUCUAUCUUCCAUUACCUACAGGUGAUAAUUUCCCAAGUCUUCAGGAGACUUUGGAUGAAGUCCAAAGAGAGAACUCGGUUCCUGACAUUGGGCACCAGACCUGCACCCUGACCACAUUUUCAGGAAGACUUUGUGGUAGGAACUGUUGUUUAGCAACAAGCAACCUUUUGAUUCCAAACACACUACAGCAAAGGACACCAAAAGAAGCAAGCAUCCUACAGGUACCUGGGGAAGAAAAAGACCAUACUCAUCCUAUUUAGGUGGAAAACACUUAAAAGAAUCACUAGGUUUGGCUGGUACCUAUUAUUUAGCCUUAUAUUGAAAAGGUUAAUCAUGCCACACAAUGCUUUAAGUUUUCACUCCCUGUAAUAAAAAGCAUACAUUUUAAACAUCA